GGCCAGACUCCUACGGGAGGCAGCAGUGGGGAAUAUUGCACAAUGGGGGAAACCCUGAUGCAGCGACGCCGCGUGAGUGAAGAAGUAUUUCGGUAUGUAAAGCUCUAUCAGCAGGGAAGAAAAUGACGGUACCUGAAGAAGAAGCCCCGGCUAACUACGUGCCAGCAGCCGCGGUAAUACGUAGGGGGCAAGCGUUAUCCGGAUUUACUGGGUGUAAAGGGGGCGCAGACGGCGAUGCAAGCCAGGAGUGAAAGCCCGGGGCCCAACCCCGGGACUGCUCUUGGAACUGCGUGGCUGGAGUGCAGGAGGGGCAGGCGGAAUUCCUGGUGUAGCGGUGAAAUGCGUAGAUAUCAGGAGGAACACCGGUGGCGAAGGCGGCCUGCUGGACUGCAACUGACGUUGAGGCCCGAAAGCGUGGGGAGCAAACAGGAUUAGAUACCCUGGUAAC
This 448-nucleotide ribosomal RNA is filed under the name uncultured bacterium. RNAcentral's name for it is "bacterial SSU rRNA". It matches the Rfam family "Bacterial small subunit ribosomal RNA", at positions 329 to 794 of the family's 1533-position model. The record is from RNAcentral.